GGGGGUGAUAUGGUUUCGACGUGGGUGAUGGAGCCCAAGGUGCAUGCUGAGGUACAGUCAACCUCGUAAAACAGGCUGUACAACAAUAGUUGCCAACGACGACAACUACGCUCUGGCUGCUUGACGGCCAGUCUCUAACUGAGUUGUGCUUGUGCGCUCAGCGUUCUGUGUAAUGCAGGACAUCAAGGGGUAACUUUACACAAGAUCGCUAUGAAGCCUUGCCCAAGGUGGAUUAGUUAAAACUUUUGGGCUCGCUGUGCUCUUUCCCUGUCUUGUCGGGUAGUAGCACGGUUAAAAAUUAAAGACAGACUAAGCAUGUAGGACCGAAGGUAAAGUGCUUGCGGACGCGGGUUCGAUUCCCGCCACCUCCACCA
This 374-nucleotide transfer-messenger RNA is filed under the name Candidatus Kentrum sp. TUN. RNAcentral describes it as "Candidatus Kentron sp. TUN transfer-messenger RNA". It matches the Rfam family "transfer-messenger RNA". From Rfam's summary of the family: Bacterial tmRNA, also known as 10Sa RNA or SsrA, is named for its dual tRNA and mRNA-like properties. The record is from RNAcentral. Lineage: Bacteria; Pseudomonadati; Pseudomonadota; Gammaproteobacteria.